CCUACGGGUGGCUGCAGUGAGGAAUAUUGGUCAAUGGACGAGAGGCUGAACCAGCCAAGUCGCGUGAGGGAUGACUGCCCUAUGGAUUGUAAACUUCUUUUGUCUGGGAGUAAAGUGUUCCACGUGUGGGAGUUGGUGUGUACCUGAUGAAUAAGCAUCGGCUAACUCCGUGCCAGCAGCCGCGGUAAUACGGAGGAUGCGAGCGUUAUCCGGAUUUAUUGGGUUUAAAGGGAGCGUAGGUGGGUUUUUAAGUCAGUUGUGAAAUUUUGGGGCUCAACCGUCAUACAGCAGUUGAAACUGGUAGUCUUGAGUAGACGAGAGGUAGGCGGAAUUCGUGGUGUAGCGGUGAAAUGCAUAGAUAUCACGAAGAACUCCGAUUGCGAAGGCAGCACACCGG
Molecule: ribosomal RNA, 397 nt
Filed under: uncultured bacterium
Lineage: Bacteria
Description: partial 16S ribosomal RNA
Rfam family: Bacterial small subunit ribosomal RNA
Source: RNAcentral